This 754-nucleotide ribosomal RNA is filed under the name Escherichia coli. Its description in RNAcentral is "partial 23S ribosomal RNA". It matches the Rfam family "Bacterial large subunit ribosomal RNA", at positions 495 to 1249 of the family's 2925-position model. Lineage: Bacteria; Pseudomonadati; Pseudomonadota; Gammaproteobacteria; Enterobacterales; Enterobacteriaceae. The record is from RNAcentral.
CCAGUACCGUGAGGGAAAGGCGAAAAGAACCCCGGCGAGGGGAGUGAAAAAGAACCUGAAACCGUGUACGUACAAGCAGUGGGAGCACGCUUAGGCGUGUGACUGCGUACCUUUUGUAUAAUGGGUCAGCGACUUAUAUUCUGUAGCAAGGUUAACCGAAUAGGGGAGCCGAAGGGAAACCGAGUCUUAACUGGGCGUUAAGUUGCAGGGUAUAGACCCGAAACCCGGUGAUCUAGCCAUGGGCAGGUUGAAGGUUGGGUAACACUAACUGGAGGACCGAACCGACUAAUGUUGAAAAAUUAGCGGAUGACUUGUGGCUGGGGGUGAAAGGCCAAUCAAACCGGGAGAUAGCUGGUUCUCCCCGAAAGCUAUUUAGGUAGCGCCUCGUGAAUUCAUCUCCGGGGGUAGAGCACUGUUUCGGCAAGGGGGUCAUCCCGACUUACCAACCCGAUGCAAACUGCGAAUACCGGAGAAUGUUAUCACGGGAGACACACGGCGGGUGCUAACGUCCGUCGUGAAGAGGGAAACAACCCAGACCGCCAGCUAAGGUCCCAAAGUCAUGGUUAAGUGGGAAACGAUGUGGGAAGGCCCAGACAGCCAGGAUGUUGGCUUAGAAGCAGCCAUCAUUUAAAGAAAGCGUAAUAGCUCACUGGUCGAGUCGGCCUGCGCGGAAGAUGUAACGGGGCUAAACCAUGCACCGAAGCUGCGGCAGCGACGCUUAUGCGUUGUUGGGUAGGGGAGCGUUCUGUAAGCC